UGACUGUGGAAGAUAGAAUAGAAAUUGCAACAAAAAAAAUCUUAACUCUAAUAGAACACUAAAUAAAUUCUAAUUAAACUAUAACAAUACUAAGUAAGCUUUAAUCAAAUUCAAAAGAAACCUUAAAGAAAUUACAAAUGAAAUAAUAAGAAAUCUUAAAAGAAUUAAAAAAAAAAUCUACAAUAAACCUUAAAAAUAUCCUUAAGAAAUUCUAAAGAAAUAUAAGAAUAAUCACAAAUAUAUCUUAAAUAGAUCACAAUCAAAUCCUAGUUUAAUCUAAAUUAAAAUGCUAAUGGACUUCAAUCAAAUCCUAAACUCUAAACCAAAUCUUAAAUAAAUCUUAAAUCCUAAACUCAACCCUAAUCAAAUCUUAAAGCUUAAAUCAAAUCCUAAAUAAAUACUAAAUCUUAAACCAAAUCCUAACCAAAUCCUAGACAAAUCCCAAAUCCUAACCAAACUCUAGUCAAAUCCUAAAUUCUAAACCAAAUCCUAAUCAAAUUUUAAAUACUAAAUCAAAUCUUAAUUAAAUCUUAAAUCUUAAAUCAAAUCUUAAUCAACUUCUAAAUCCUAAAUCAAAUCCUAAACCAAAUCCUAGACAAACCCUAAAUCUUAAAUCAAAUUCUAACCAAAUCCUAACUUUAAACCAAACCUUAAUCAAAUCCUAA
Molecule: long non-coding RNA, 665 nt
Filed under: Physcomitrium patens
Lineage: Eukaryota; Viridiplantae; Streptophyta; Bryopsida; Funariales; Funariaceae
Description: long non-coding RNA (PPAT_LNC011326)
Source: RNAcentral